CCUACGGGUGGCAGCAGUAGGGAAUCUUCCACAAUGGACGAAAGUCUGAUGGAGCAACGCCGCGUGGGUGAAGGAGGGUUUCCGCUCGUAAAGCUCUGUUGGUAGGGAAGAAAGAUAGAGGUAGUAACUGUCCUUUAUUUGACGGUACUUACUUAGACAGUCCCGGCUAACUACGUGCCAGCAGCCGCGGUAAUACGUAGGUGGCAAGCGUUGUCCGGAUUUAUUGGGCGUAAAGCGAGUGCAGGCGGUGCAAUAAGUCUGAUGUGAAAGCCGUCGGCUCAACCGGAGAAUUGCAUCAGAAACUGUUGAACUUGAGUGCAGAAGAGGAGAGUGGAACUCCAGGUGUAGCGGUGGAAUGCGUAGAUAUAGGGAAGAACACCAGUGGCGAAGGCGGCUCUCUGGGCUGCAACUGACGCUGAGGCUCGAAAGCAUGGGUAGCGAACAGGAUUAGAUACCCCGGUAGUC
Molecule: ribosomal RNA, 465 nt
Filed under: uncultured bacterium
Lineage: Bacteria
Description: partial 16S ribosomal RNA
Rfam family: Bacterial small subunit ribosomal RNA
Source: RNAcentral